Molecule: long non-coding RNA, 822 nt
Filed under: Setaria viridis
Lineage: Eukaryota; Viridiplantae; Streptophyta; Magnoliopsida; Poales; Poaceae
Description: long non-coding RNA (SVIR_LNC006768)
Source: RNAcentral
CUUGGUGUGCAGUCUAUUUUGGCUGCAAACGAGAAACGUGAGGAGAAGGUAGCUGUUGAGAAGGCGAAGCUUGUGGAUGCGUUUUCGUCUGACCCUAAGGGUGCUGGUGCCGAGGCUAUUAGAUCCGGUAAGCAUGUAGAGGUGGUUUUGCCGAAGCUUCGGUUUUUUGAUUGCCGACGGGCUUCGGCGUCAUUUUUGAAGGAUUUGGAGGCUACUAUGGGGGACAUCGGCGAGGUUAGCUGUGAGGAUCAUGUAAGGCUGAAAGUUAAAUGUUAUGAUGUAGGUGAGAGAUUGCCGGCUGGUCUGCAAGGGCUUAAUGAAGGCCUGGGCUUGAGCGGGCGCACGGAGGUUCUAGCGACGUGCGCCGAAGGUAGGGUCUAUAAUCCACAUAAUCUAAUUUUGGACUAGGGAAAGGGAGGUGAGGAUUGCAAGCGCUGUGCAGAUGACGGUGGUUCAAGGAGGGUGGAGUGAACAAGAGCGACGGCUUCGGGUAAAGAGAUUGUUCCGAUCGCCGUUGAGGCGCGGGGGUACGAAGGUAAUGUCUUUUUGGGAGUGAUCAUUGUUUGUGGACUUUGUUGCUAUUGUGGUGUUCUUAUAAUUGUAUGCUUGACCCACAGGUUUUCAGCAAUCUGUAAGGUCUAUGAGCUCGGAGGAGCUUUUGAGCUUGGAGGCUAACCUCGUAAAGAAGGUAUGACUACUAGCUGAUUUGUUGGUGCGUGCGAGGUUUAUUAUCUUUACUGUGUUUGCUGCGACUUGAUCUGAUGUUUUGUGUUUGGGCUUUGCAGAUGUCUUACUUGUCCAUGGUUACGAGGGAUAGGCUUG